UGGGGAAUCUUGGACAAUGGGCGCAAGCCUGAUCCAGCCAUGCCGCGUGGAUGAUGAAGGCCCUAGGGUUGUAAAAUCCUUUCGUCAGGGACGAUAAUGACGGUACCUGAAGAAGAAGCCCCGGCUAACUUCGUGCCAGCAGCCGCGGUAAUACGAAGGGGGCUAGCGUUGUUCGGAAUUACUGGGCGUAAAGCGCAUGUAGGCGGGUCGUUAAGUCGGGGGUGAAAGCCCAGAGCUCAACUCUGGAACUGCCUUCGAUACUGGCGACCUGGACCCAAGGAGAGGCGAGUGGAAUUGCGAGUGUAGAGGUGAAAUUCGUAGAUAUUCGCAGGAACACCAGUGGCGAAGGCGACUCGCUGGACUUGUGGUGACGCUGAGAUGCGAAAGCGUGGGGAGCAAACAGGAUUAGAUACCCUAGUAGUCCCUGAGCGGGCUGGCAAGGCGCAU
RNAcentral lists this ribosomal RNA (447 nucleotides) under uncultured bacterium. Its description in RNAcentral is "bacterial SSU rRNA". It matches the Rfam family "Bacterial small subunit ribosomal RNA", at positions 355 to 825 of the family's 1533-position model. The record is from RNAcentral.